CCCGAAUGCAUUCUUGACCAACCUUGAAGCAUGAGGACCUGGAGCAAAAGGUGAAAUCCUCCCUUGUGCAGAAGGCUAGCAUGAGACCUAUGCCCCACUGACAUCCAGUUCAAGCCCUAUUCUAGGCUAGACCCAUUUUUGACCGAGAAAAGAAAAAACCUUUUCCAAGGAGCCCUAUUUGGCAGCUAGACAUACCAC
Mauremys reevesii (Reeves's turtle) is the source of this 198-nucleotide long non-coding RNA. RefSeq lists it as uncharacterized. The record is from RefSeq and is a predicted model, not a curated record. NCBI's taxonomy places the organism in Eukaryota, Metazoa, Chordata, Testudines, Geoemydidae. The transcript is spliced from 3 exons.